This 305-nucleotide ribosomal RNA is filed under the name uncultured bacterium. Its description in RNAcentral is "bacterial SSU rRNA". It matches the Rfam family "Bacterial small subunit ribosomal RNA", at positions 338 to 660 of the family's 1533-position model. The record is from RNAcentral.
CCUACGGGACGCAGCAGUGGGGGAUAUUGCACAAUGGGGGGAACCCUGAUGCAGCGACGCCGCGUGAACGAAGAAAUAUUUCGGUAUGUAAAGUUCUAUCAGCAGGGAAGAAAAUGACAGUACCUGACCAAGAAGCCCCGGCUAACUACGUGCCAGCAGCCGCGGUAAUACGUAGGGGGCGAGCGUUAUCCGGAUUCACUGGGUGUAAAGGGUGCGUAGGCGGCUUGGCAAGUCAGUAGUGAAAUCCAUGGGCUUAACCCAUGAACUGCUAUUGAAACUGUCGAGCUUGAGUGAAGUAGAGGUAG